CAAUCAUAUUGUUGGCAUUAGCUCUUACCUAAAACCAAUGGCGAAGUGCGAGAGGCAAGUGAGCAUCCAAGGACUUUGGCUGCUUUCCAUUGUUCUUUUGGCAUCCUCAGUUGUUUGUGCAGGCACAAUAGAUGGGCAAACUAAUAAAGAGGACAUCAACGCUAGGAGUGUGACGAUGGCCACGUCAAGGUCAGCAAGCUACAUAGUUGGUAGUGAUGGAGGUCGUAUGAGAGGUUCAUGUACUAAGAGAUCUGAUGGAUGGUGGUGGUGCGGAAGGCUCCGCUUUAAGACAGAGAUGCAGUGUGAAGAGCAUUGCACGUUGCACUUUGUUGGAAAGGACCAAUAAUUGUUUUGUUAUCUAAUCAUGCUUGUACCAAUGGAUCAACUAUAAGCUAACUUACUAUUAA
Long non-coding RNA from Sorghum bicolor (sorghum), 407 nucleotides. RefSeq lists it as uncharacterized. NCBI's taxonomy places the organism in Eukaryota, Viridiplantae, Streptophyta, Magnoliopsida, Poales, Poaceae. The transcript is spliced from 2 exons. The record is from RefSeq and is a predicted model, not a curated record.